AAAACUCUCACUUCUAAAUGUUAUUAAAGAAAGCCGCGAAUUUUUGCCUUAUUGAUCCUGUCUUCUCCAAAAUGUUGCAGAAGCUGCACCUCCACUCGGGAGGUUGUUAUCAAUUUAUCACUCUGCUUUCGUGGAGGGAGUUCAAACGGACUUCAAGAUUGAACCAUCGUUUGGAGUUGAAGCCUCGCAGCUUUAUCCUGAUGUCAAGUACACUACAGUUGAUGAGUACCUCAAUCAGUUUGUGUAACCCUUCUCUGCUUCCAGCUGCAGCUUGCAGGAUCUUGGACUCUGGGUAAAUAAAUAAUGGGCUUGUUGCAAUCUUUGGUUUUUAUAUGUAAAAAUUAUGGUUGUUGGCCUUACUUUCUUCUGGUUGUCAAUGGAAUUUGUAAGACCAUUUUAUGUUUGCUAUGUCAGUGAUCAAAUGAAGUAGGCCAUGUACUUGAUCUGAGAAUAAUUAUAAAGCCAACAUGGUCAGGUGAGUGCGUCUGUGGGGCUUUUAUUAGGGUGCGUGUGUGAGGCUUCUGAGGGGCUUGUGAUAUGGGGUCUACAGCCCCUAAUGGGCACGCGACUGCGUGCACUAAAUGAAGUUAUUAUAAAAAUAAUUAUAGAGUCACCAAGGCAAAAAUUAAAAGUAAUUUGCCAAUAAAAAUAGUUAAAAGUAAUAAAAAGUAGGUAUUAUAUUUCAAAAAUCAAUUUUUCAUUAAUGUUUAUAAGAUUAAAUUUGUUCUUAUCUUUCCUUAAUAAACACAAAAAUUUAUCGUUUUGGACUAAUUAAAAUUUUAAAACUAGCUAACAAGCAAACCGCCAUUAAUUUUUUUUUUUCCAUUUCUUUAAUCAUUCUUUUUUCUCUUUUUGACCUUUUUCUUUUUCUUUUCUUCAGUCCUUAUUUUUCUUUUCUUUUUUGGUUUUCCUCUAAACUCUUUAAGAAAGGCUGCCAAGCCUUGAAAAUAUCUCAAAAAAUAAGAUUUUCUUUCUUAAGAUUAACAUUUUAACCACAAAAAUAAAACUCUAGUCCAAACAUUGAGCACUUACAAAUCAAACGAUAAAAACCUCUUAUUAGUACAUUAACCGUAAAAUAAAAAAGAAUUAUCACAAAUAUUGAAAUGUUGUUGUUUGAUGCUUGAGAUUCUUGAAAUGUAUGCAGAAUUCCGACAAUAUUUUGUUGAAGCAACUCUCGGAAACUUGUUUGUUGAGAUUGAUGAAGAGUCCAUGGCAAGUAACCAGGCAUAUUGCAAUCCUUGUAAUUAUUCUGACCGAGAACAAUAAAACAAAAAGUGAAAACUGAAGAAAAUGAUAAGAAAACAAUAGAAUAAUAAUAUUAAAAACUCGCUAAUCUUGCCCAAUUUUUUUUUUUUUUGGAUAAUGUUCAGCGUAUACUAGAAUCUUUUAGAGCAGAAGCAAAACAGCAACAACUUUUCAAGAAAAGAAAAAAAAAAAGAAUUAUUAAAGAAAAUGGAAAAAAGAAUUAACGGCAGUUUAUUUGAUAGCUUUUAGAUAGCCAAAACCGGUGAGUUUUUGUGUUUUAAUAAGGAUAGUUAGGAAUAAAUUUAAUCCUCUCUAUAGAAUCAUUUAGUUACUAUGUGUCAAAAUCUCCUGUAAAGAAUAGGAAAAAUUAAAUUAGAAGAGGAUCCAAAUCAGGACUUGACUAGCUUACAGAAUCUGUAAGCUACGGACUGCAGCAUCAGCCGUUGGAUGUGGUUGGAUGUGGAGUGAGAAAUUAAACAAUAGAAGAUCGGAUGGUGGGAUGACGGGAGAUGUUUGUUACAGAAUCUGUACCAUAGACAGGUCCUCCAAAUCAUCAACAUCUUGGAAUAAACAAAAGAAUCUAAACAAAAGAAACUCGUUUUGCGUGUGAACCAGUUCAAGAUAAAGAGCAGACUAUUGGAAAGAGACAAAUACUACAAGAAUAACAAAACAUUCUACAGUUACUACAUAAGCCUGCAACAAUUAAUUAUUAACUCAAGAUUUAUUACACUUUUUCUUUAAUUUGACAAAGAAACCAAAAAUGAAAUAAAAUUGACAACAGCAAUGAUAUGCUUACAACAAUGAGUAUGAAACUUAGUACAACAAGGACCUUUUUGCUAAUUUUUUCAAAUUUUUAUGAUAUUUUAGAAUUUAUGGGUUUUAUUGAUUUUGAUAAAUUGGAGCAUUUCUCCAUUCAUCUUUUCUGCAUCUAUCCCUAAAUUUCUUAUCUUUGUAAAGUUUUAACUAUGUCUUUGUAAAGUUCUAAAUGAUUAUCUCGUUCAUAGAGAUCUAUAGUUAAAUUAAUUCUUGUAUUUAUAAUCAUUUGUCUCCUUUGAGACAUAGACCAAAUUUUUUCUUCUAACAUUCCUAUGUAUAUUCCUAAGCUAUAUUUCCAGCUUAGGUACAUCUUAUCUAGGAUUUCACAAAUAAAUUGUAAUUUGAGAUCUGCAUCUUGAAUCAACAUCACCAUAUUAUUAUUAUUAUUAUUAUUAUUAUUAUUAUCCAUUGUUUUAUACUCGAUUUUGGGUUCUAUUACUAGUCGCACUUGUCUUGGAUUAUUUCAAGGCUAGAUAGAAUUGAUUCUAUUAAUGCUAUCCUGUUUCCUUCUUCAAAUGAAUCGAAUAUUUUUGGAUCAAUAAUUCUUUUCAUUUCUUCAUACAAGUGUUUGCUUGUAAUUAAUCUAGUUUUAACUAUGGAAAUUGUAUAAGCAACUUGAUAUUCUUGACUAAAGUCUAGAUGAUCAAUUGCGUCUAGAAAUUUAUUAACAGAUCUUUCCAUUUUUAUGAAAUUGAGUUACUUUUAUCACUUCCUAUCUUAUAACAUUUCAGAAUACAAACAAGGCCCAACAUGCUUCCAUUUGUUGCUAAAAUAAAAGAAUAGAGUUCAAGAUUACUAACCAGUGUACAUUUCUCGGAAUUCUAAGAUAGAUUCACUAAUUGCCUCCAACCAUAGAGAGGUCUAUGGUUAACUCCGCCAUAGCUCCACACAUCAUAUAAGAUCACUUCAACGACUGUUACAUAGGCCCAACGCAACAUAUAGCAAACGGGCCUAAAAGAAUAUGUCUAAGUGAUUUGCUUACAGCUGUCUCUGGAAGAGUGCUUAGUAGUAGAAAAUCUUCUUCCUUUAGCACAAGUAUUGGCAUGUAAGGUUCUUGGUUAUUUUCUAAGAGUAUAUAAGAUAUCUGGAAGAUGACAAUUUCGCUCAAAAGAGUUUUAUUUAUUUCAUCAUUGAAAUUAUUUACAGAGGAUGGUUACAGAGAAUACAGGUGUAGGUGUAGGUGUAGGUGUAGGUGUAGGUGUAGGUGAAGGUUAGGCAUGUGAUGUCCUUCCCUUCUUACAUGUUUCUAUUUAUAAUCUUAAAUAGAUAAGGUUAUCUCUUUUACAUGACACUUGUUUAAUUCUCUUGGUGGAUUGUGGAUUCUUUCCUGAUAAGGUGACCCUUCUUCUUUUUAUCAUUAAAGACAGUGGUUGUCUUCUUUUCCUGGUGGUAGACAGCCUUUAUCUGGUUGUAGUGUGCUUUAUCUUUUUGGAAUCUUUCUUUUUGAAUUAUUAAUGCUUUUAGGAUAGCACCUUUUAUCUUUUCCAAUGGUUCCUGUCACAUGCCAAGUAUCAAAUCUUCCUCUAGUGACAUGUCUUCCCCACUAGAAUCCUUUUUUGAUCCUUCGUAGCAGUAGCCACAUGAUGACUGAUGUUUUAGCACCUUGCAUACCUCGUGAUGUGUCAGUAAGCUGGAUUCCACGAGAUUUUCAUAUAUUGCCUUUUUCUUUUUUGAUAUGGCCUGUCUGGCUAAAAUGCUUUCUUUUCUACUUAUAGAAAAGAUUAUAUGCUCCUUUGUGGCUUCGUGGAGCCAUAUUUUUUCCUCACUUAUCCUCUCAAGAGAUUCAUAGAGGACUUUCAUUCCUACGGCUCUUUUGCUGGUGAGAGCUUUGGGUUCGAAAAAUUCAGGAUCAUAAUCAUUAUAGACUUGAUCUAUAUCAAUAGUUGGACUAACUUUUUGCUGCUAAUUCUAACUUAAAUCAUGUGCUGUGCUACCACUUGUUUUCACCGUAUUAAGGGCAAGCAGUGAGGAUCUUGAUAAAAAUUAGUUCUUUUGUUUUGGAUAUCCUUUUGUGGUCAUUAACAGCCUCUGUAUUUUUUUCUAGGAGCUCUUUUAUUUUCCUACAAUCAUCACGGACAUAAACAAGGUUAAGAAAACCGUAUUCAAACAUGUCUUUUAUCAAUUUUGGAUAAGCUCCUAGCACAAAUUUUAUCCUUGGGUAUAACCCUGAAUGAUAUGGUAUUAUAGUCUGGUUAUGAUGAAUCACAUAAGUUAUUUUACCAAUUCUUUUAUAAUUAUAAGCGUUGUCGCUUCCUAAUGGAUUUUUAACCAUAGGAACAGACUGUCCGCUUUUAUUAUAUUGGGGCCUUAAGCUCACUGAAGACCUUUGAGAUUCUUCUUUCUUCAUAUAUUAUUCUUUGAGAUCAUUGAUUGUGAGAAAUUUCUCUAGAUGUGUGACCUUUGAGUUCUGUGAAGAACUCUGGGCAAUCUGAUCCUUAGUUUGAUCCUUAAAAUGGACCUUUUUUUAGCAUAUUACUAAUAGAUUGUUAUGAAAUUUGGACUUCUGGAUGAUUUUGCAAACUUUUCUAUAGGCAAAGUUUGCUCAAUUCUUCAUGGGCAUCAUCUAUCAUGGCAAGCCUAUUAUAAAUUAUACCAUUGCCUUUGAGAAGCAAUUCUUGACCUUCAGAGCACAUUAUUAUGCCCUUAAUUAUUUUGGAAAGACCCUUCUCCAUUGUAUUCUCGGCUAAGAAAAUUUGCAAUAGAAUUGUUAGAUCCUUUAAUAUAUUCAAUUUCAAAAUCAUAUUCAGCAAAAAAACCGUUGCCAUUUAAUUAAUCUUUUAUAUUAAGGGAGAUUAGGCAAUUUAUUAAAUAUAAAUCCUUUAACUCGAGUGUUAUCAGAUCUUACCUUGAAUUUCUUUGGUAACAAAAAAAAGUAAAUUUAGCUAUUCCAUUUUUAAUAGUUAACAGUUCAUUUUCAUUACUAUGAUAAUUCUUCUAUGCGGGUUUGAAUGUUCUGGUGGCAUAUCUACAAAUCUUUUCUUGAUCUGUUUUUAAGACUACACCCCAGUAAUUAUCUGAAGCAUCGGUCUCAAGAAUUAAAUUAUCACUAGAAGUAGGGAAUCCUAAUCUUGGAAGAUUUUUACAUUUUUCUUUCGAUUUUUUUACUACUUUGGUAUGGAGAUCUUUCCAUGAUUUAGUAUUAUUCUUUUUUAAUAAUCCUUGUAAAGAUUGUCUUUCUUUAGCUAAGUUUUCUAUGAAACCUUCAGCAUAAUUAAGAUAUCCUAAAAAUAUUUGAAUUUGUUCUUUAGAUUCUAAUUUAUUUGGGAAUAGAUAUAUUUUCCAAAAAUAUGAGGUUGCAUCUCAAUUCCUGUUUCAUCUAUUAUUAACCCUAGAAAUUCUAUCUUGAGUUUCAUUAUUUCAGCUUUCUUUUUAGGGAGUAAUAUUCCAUGUUUCUUGCAUUUCUCUGCAAAAGAAACGAGAUGAUUAAUAAGAUAUAUCUUAUUAUCUGAAAAUAUAAAAAUAUCAUCUAAAUAAACAAUGUAGAAUUCAUGAAAUUCUUUGAAGAUUUGAUCCAUCCUUCUUUCAAAUAUUUUUGGUGCAUUUUUCAAUCCAAAAGGCAUUACAAUCCAUUCAUAUUAUCCUUGAGGUGUACUAAAGGCAGUAAGUGGUAUACUUUCUACUUUAAGUUUGAUAUGUCAAAAUCCAGAUUUGCAAUCAAACUUGCUAAAUGUCUUUUUAUCGGUCACGGAGAUAAUUAAUGUAUCUUUAUAAGGUAAAAAAUAUCCAUUGAAUUUGGUAUAUUUAUUUAAUUCUUUGUAGUUAAUAACCAUGCGAGCUUUUCCUCAUUUAAUUUCUACAUGAUUUCUAACCAUAAAGGCUGGACUACUAUGAGGACUUUUAGAUUUCAAAUAAUCUUAAGUUCUAAUAACUCUUCAAUUUUUUUUAUCAAAUUCUUGUCCAUGUUCUUGCCCAUCUCUCAUAGGCUUAACUCUUAUGAUACCAUUUAGAUCUGUUAAUUCGAUCUUAGCAUAUGUUUAAUCAAUUUCUCAUAAUUGAAUUGGGUUUUCACCAAAAUUUUUAUCAAGUUUUUCUAAAAUUUUUUCAUAGUCUAACAUGAUUUGAAUGAUUUUUAUAGUGUAAUCAACACACUGACUGUGUCGAAAAUGUAAUUUUUGAGUUGUGCGCCUAACAAGGUUAUAAAUUCUCGGGGUAGUAAUGGAAUGAUUACAUGGUGUUUUGAGAGUAAUGGCUUCAUUAGUCAUUAUAUAAAUGAAUUGACGAAGGAAAUUAACUCCUAAAAGUAUAUAUGUUCCCAUAUGAUCAUAAGACCAGAAUAUAGGGAUACUUAAGAUGUAAUCUUCGAUUUGGAUUAAAGUCUUAAUCCUACAAGUCCCUAAGGUGAUCUGUUCAUCAUUUGUUCCUUAUCCUUUUAAAGGCUUAUAAUCUUUCCAAUAUGGUUUUGGAUAAAUCCUAGAACUGGCAAAACUAACUCCUAAACCAGUAUCGAUUAAAGCAUAAAACCAUUCCAGUUUAUGUUUAUAAUAUGGUAUAAUCACUUUUAUAUAAAUUAUAAAAGGAUUAGACAUAUCUUGAUAUGGUUUGCUUAAUUCCUUCAAUUGUUAUACUUAUUUCUCUAUCUCCUGUACAAUAAGGAGAGAAAUUCUAAAGAAAGUUCAUCCCUAAUAAUAAAGGAUUUAUUUCUGUUUCAUAAUAUGGUUCUAUGAAAAAAGGAAAGAUGAAUUUUGUUCCUUUUAUUUUUAAUGGUAUUUUACAAUAUUUUCUUAAUGUCUUUCUUUCUCUAUUAAAUCCUACAUAAGUAUGAGGUUCAAUUAGAAUUUUUCUUUCUAAAUAUUUAAUCAUUUUAGCAUCUACAUAAGAUUUUGUAGCUCAUGUAUCAAGGAUAGCAAAAGUCUCGUGCCAUGAUUUUCCAUUAUUAUAGUCAAUCUUAAUUUUUAGAUUUUGAUUAUUUUUUCUAAUUGUGGCUAAUAUUUCAUGUGAUGGUGGUGUCACAAGAUGACUACAUCUAGUAAAACUUUGGGUUCCUCUGAAUUUUGGUUCUCUUUUGGGUAUAGAGAAUGAUCUUUUAUGUCUUAUAAUGAUUCUUCCUUCUGGAGUAUAUUCUAUAGAUUUAGUAGUAUUUCCUUUAAUCAGAGUAGGUUGACUACUUAGAUUCAUUUUCCAUUCUUAUGAUAAAUAUAUUUCUCUCUGGAUUUCAGGAUAUUUUAUAUUUCUAACUUUACUAAAUAAUUUAUCUAUUUCAAUAAAAUAUUUAUUAGCAAACAUUUCACUAUUUGCUGAAUUUGUUAAUGCAUAUUUUAUGGCAUACAUUAUGCUAUAUGGAUAAGACCCCUCAUGCAUUAUAUCAAAGUAUUUAAAAUCAUGACAUAAGGUUAAUGUUUUAUUUAUAUUUCUAUCCCUAAGACUUAUAGAAUAUUUAGGAUAUAUCUUAAAUAUCAAUUUUUUAUAACUCAAGUUUCCUUGUAUUAUUCUAGGGACUGCAUGUUUUCGAUCUUGUAUUCUAUUAUCUAGUACUGCUAAAAUUAUUGGACUAUCUAUUCCUUCCCGAAAAUGAGCUUUUAUCAUAAACUGAAUUCCUCCAAUAUGAUCAUAUCCAAUUUUGGGUCUAUUGCUAGAUUUUAUCUUACUGAUUUUAUCUUCUAUAUCAGUCUUUAAUAAUAAUGGUAUAUUUGUAUUUCCCUUAGCAUACCUAAUUUCAAUAUGUUCUUCUCACACAGUAGCACUGAAAUACAUAACAUUUUUUCUUUUAAUCAUGGUGGCAAUUCCUAGAGCUAACUUAUUGACUGAAGUCAAGGAUGAUUCUAAUCAUUUUUUUGUUAAUCUUGAGGUAUUGUUUUUUUUUUUUAUCAAAGAUUAAUUCUUUGUUAAAAGAACCUUGUUCUUCUAAUUCUUCAUCUUGAUAUAAAUGCUUAUUAUCUAAUUCUUCUAUACUCAUUCCAAAUAUGAUUUUGAAUCUGAGCUACUUAAAGUUUCUUCAGAAAGAUAAUAUAUGCUAUCACUUUCACUAAUACCUUCACUAUCUGUGAUUAAUUCUAAAUCAUUAAAAUCCUCAAACAUUUUUAUAUUUUCUUUUUUCUUUUUAGGACAUUCAUUUGUAUAAUGCCCUUCUUCAUUACAUAACCACCACUUGCAUUCUUUAACUACAUUGGUUUUAAAUCUUCUUUUAAAUUUAUUUUUCUUGUAGAAUUUCUUCUUAUAUUUAUUUUUCUUGUAAUAUUUCUUGUUGCCUUUAAAGAAUCUCUUCUUUUUGAAUUUAUUCCUAUAUUUAUAAGUUUUAUCUGAACAUCCAAAUCUUGGUGGAUCUUCUAACUUAGAGCAAAACAAUCCUUGAUUUAGCCUUUUCAUAAGUCUGUUAUCUCUUAUUUCAGCACACCAUUCACUCAUUCUAUUUCGAGCAAACCUAAUCUUAUUUCCUAAGGUAUCAGUCUCUGUUGUAUCUUCAUAUUUGUUGUUAUAUUCUAGCAUAAUCCUUUUCUCCCAUGGGUCUGGUAUCCUUAUAAAAUAUAGAUCUUAGUAAUAGCAUAUGCUACUUUCAUCUAAUUCACAUUUAUAAUAUAAUUCUUCAAAGCUACACGUGUAUUCUUCUAAAUAACAUAUAUUACAUAUUUCAAGCCUUGUUAGUUUUAUUACAUUUUCCAUCUUUUUUUCACUUUAUUUCUUAUUGAAAACCAGUUUCUCAAUCUUCUCCUAGGAAUUUUUUUCUUAUUUCAUUUUCAAAUCUAUUUAAAACUUGAUCCAAGCUUUCAUUUUGAUUAUUAUUUUCUCCAUACAAUAUUUUAUUUUUGUUAUUAUCGUUUAGUCCCAUAAACGAAUGUGACACUAUUCCUACAAAUGAAGUUUUAAGGAAUUCUAUACUAUUAUUCCUAUCUAUUUUGUUAAAUACAAAUGCCGUUUUCAUAGAUUUAACCCAAGCGAUAAUCGUUUUAUCUCUAUCUUUGACAUAGUCUAAAUCUAACCAUACUCCAUCAUGGUUGAUUGGUCUCUCUCUAUAUUUUCCUGGAGUUUUAUAAUUUUUUUAGGCUUGUUAACCCUAAAAUAUUGAUGUUGUGAUCUUUCAUGAGCUAGUAUUUCUUCUCUAGUAUAGGAAGCUCUAUUACUAGAUUCUCCUUGUUAAAAAACCGUUGGUUUUGAUUCAUUCAUUUUUAAUUGUUCUAUUCUAUUUUCAAUAUCUCAUAAGUUAAUGAGUACAUCCUCUUCCUCUUCGGAUUUAGAUUCUUCAUUGGAUAUUUCUGGAUUGUAUAAUUCUUUUAAUCCAUUGUCUACAUUUUCACUUAGCAUCCUUAAACUUAUUAAUUUUUUAUCUUAGUUUUUUGUUAAAUAUUGUCUAGAUAUUGCUAUCAUUUCUUUAUCUUUCUUUUCGUUGUAGUAAAUUAUGGUGUCUUGUAAGGUUUUAUUUUUUUUUCUUGAAUUACCAUGAGUAAUUCUUCCAUAUUGUUAUUUAUCUUUUGUAUUUCAAUCCUUUUGUAGUUUUCUAUGAAAAAUUAUUUCUAUACACCUCUCUCCUAAUUCUAAAUAGGAGAAUAGGAUCGAUGUUUAAAUUUCUAUUCUUUAUUAUUUUGAGUUCUCCAAUUCUAAAUUCAUGAGCUCUAGAUAAAUAAAAUUGUUCUAAUUGUUUAUCAUCUAAUAUCUCAAGUUUUGAAUAAUAAUAUUGUUUAUGUUUAGUUAUGUUAUCCUUUAUAGUAUUACUAUCUACCAUUAGAUUAUAUCCCCUAUUAUUAAUAAAAUAAACAAUUGUUUCUUCCAUUUUUAUAUUUUGAACCAAAAAUCUGGUUCUGAUACCGUUUUUGCAGACAAUUUUCAAUCCUAAGAUCCAAGUAAGGAUGUAAAUGAUUAAUCUUUAAAAUCUUAUGAAUAUUUUACAAUUUUGCUUUUUUAAAACACACAGUUUUAUGCUAGGUGUUGUGCAAUCUUUUGUAAAAAUUCAUGAACCAAUACUAUAUUGACUUCUCCUAAAAUGCAUAGGUUUGUUAUGAAAUUCUAAGUGUACAACCCAAAAAGUGGGGUGAAUUGGGUUUUUAAAAAUUUAAGCAAUUAUAACCACACAAAAAUUUCAAUUAAUGUCUUAUUUGAUUCAAUAACAAUAAUUUUAACAAUGAAUAAAGUAAAGAGAUGAGGGAGAAGAGAGCAAACAUGAGAUUUUUACAUGGUUCAGCAAAACCUGCCUACGUUGACGCCUCCAAGCUCACUAUGCUUGAAGAUUUCACUAUCCAAGCAUUACAACCCUAAGGCUUCAAGAUGCUUACAAUUGAUUUCUAAGGUUUCCAUGGACCUUUACAUCCAGAGGUUCUCUCAAACCUCUUAACCAAGUGUUUCUCACACUUACAACCACUUAAUUGUGAUAUUGAAAAAAAGUUACACAAAUUUUCCACUCACACAAUAUAUGUGUUUACAACUAAAAGCCUAGAGUGUGUUUCAAUGAAAGAAUAAAAACAUUUAAGCUCAAGACAGAUUAAACAUGCAAAAGUAAGCUCAAUGCCAAUUUUUGAAUUCGUUAUUGAUUGAAUAUGAUUAAUCCUUUUGAUAGUUGGAGCUGAAAACUAGCCGUUAUUGACUUUCUGCACAAGGUCGGAUCAUCGUUAAUACUUAUCGGACUGCUGUUUUGACUUGAUCAAGUUACCGUUAGGCGAAAAUCUAAAUUUUCGGAUCACCAUUUUCGAGACAUUGAAUUGUUGUUAGUUUCUAGUAACAUUGCGAGAAAAUAGUUGGCUUACCGUUUUCAAAAUGUCAUAUCGUCGUUAGUUUCCAAAUCCAUUCGAUGUCGGUUAGCCAUUUGCUACAUUAACUGCUACAUUGAAACUAUUUUUUAAAAUUAUAUUUUUGCCAUGCUUUCUAUAAUUAUACUGUAGCCCAAAUCUUCAUAAUACUUUACAAAUAGGUCCAUUUUCAGAGUUUCAAAACAUACUUUUUAUUUCCAAAACUUUAUGAAAUUAUACUAUAACCCAAAAAUAUAUAAAAUAUUUCAAAUAGGUUCAUUUCUAGAAUUUUAAAACAAUACUUGUUGAUUUCAAAGUUCUCAAAACUUUUUAAAUUUAGAGCAUUAACUUCAAAAUAACCAAUUUCAUAAAAUCAUUUUUUUCAUUAAGAUUUAUGAAAAAUGACUUGAGCUUUUAAAUGCUUAAGCAUGCAUAUAUUUAAUCAUACUAGCUUUACAAGAAAUGUAACAAGAGAAAUCACCUAAGCUAGUACCUCUAAUGCUUGUUCUUGACUUAGUGAGCUUUUUACCUUCGUCUAUUUGAGUGCCUUGAACUUGAUCACACACACACACACACACACACACACACACACACACACACACAUAUAUAUAUAUAUAUAUAUAUAUAUAUAUAUAUAUAUAUAUAUCAUUUUAUCCUUUUAUCCUUAACACGUGGUUUGUUAUUAUCAAAACCCAAGUUCGUACAACCGCUUAGGCCAACAUGUUACUCCCAAUCAAUUGACUUCUGACAUGACUACUUCCAAAAUGGCUAGUACCAAAAGGGAAUCCUUCUGGGAUGAGAAUUGAAAAACAUGCCUCUUCUAGCACUAAAAUUACUCCUUCCACCUAUAUUUCCACUAUAAUGUCCUUAAAAUCCUCCGGCAUAUCCACCUCUUUUAGUAUUGCCUCCUAUUUGUGCAUGAUAGUAAUUAAUUAUGCCAUAGUUAUUAUGGUUAGCAAAGUUAGCACAAUUUGCAUUGAAUAUGUGUUUUUCAUUAUGACUUUGUUCAAGUCUUGCCUCUUGAGUAAGCAAUAGAGCAUACGCACCAUCAUAAUAUAACUUGCUAGCAGUAAUAAAAGUAGAUAAAUGCAGAUGGCUAGCUCCAAAACUAUUGAGAAUUUGUUAAACAUAUCUUUAUCAGAAAUAGGACUACCAACACAUGUCAAUUUAUCUGCUAUUUAUUUAAUCUUUAAGCAAUACUCUUCUAUGCUUAGUGACUUUUUUUCUCAAAGCAUUCAUCUCAUAUCUCAUUUGAAGAAUCCUACCCUCAUAAUGUUGCCUAAACUUUUUCUGUAAUGUUUUUCAUACAUCAAGUAAGGUGUUAUAAGAAUGAACAAGACCGAGAAUACCUUCAGUGAUAGAGCUGAGUAACUAGCUAAGUAAUGUGUGAUCUUGAGAUCUCCAAACAAUGAACUCAGGAUUUUCAAUCUGUUAAGUAGAUGCAGCAACUGCUCUAGCAUAGCUGAUGAAUCAAUGAAUUGAUUUGGUGCUUCAUUUUCUCUAGUUAUGUAUCCUUCGGUUUCCUCUUAUAAAAGCUAGAACUUGAUUUUGCCACAGCAUGUAAUUUGAUCAAUCGAAUGUGAUUGGAGUGAUGAAACAGAAUGUUGUUUGCAUUGAUUGAUUUGUAGAGAUUGCAAUUGAAUUUGUGCUUACAUUGCUUGAGCUUGCCAUUUUGGCUCAGAUACCAUGAAUAAAUUAUUGGAAGUUGAGUUAUAGUUGCUGUUUAACAGCUGAGAAAAUAGAGGAAAAUUCUCUGGAAAUUCUAAAUGUUUCCUAUUGAGCAAACGAAAGAUUAACAUACUAUAUAUAUACAAGUUUCUAAAUUGUUUCUAGCUAAUUUACAGUACAGCUAAUCAAUAGAUUUGAUCCAAAGUAAAACUAAUUAGUUUCACACAUAAGGAGCACGUGAAUCCAUCAUCGUUGCAUAAUCGAACAUGUUGACUUAGCUGCUGACUUGGCAUUGACAGCUGAUUUGCUUCUUUUUUGUAACUCUGGAUAGUGUGCUUUCUUCACAAGUUUCCCCAAAUCUCCAUUAUGUACAGCUUCUGCAAAAAUUUCCUAACCAAACCAUUUAUUUGUAAUUUCCUCUUGUGUUGGCCCUAUGCCAUCAUCAAGUGGUACCGUGAGAGGAUUUCCAUCUAGAUUACCCUGAUCUUUGUCUGAAUCAUAACUAGUAUGCAUAGUGUUUUCAUCCUCAUCACCCUGCGCAGCCAAAACAAAAUGCUUAACAUUACAUAUACAGUAAAACCUCUCUAUAGUCAUAUUGUUGGGAUUAAACUAAUUUUAUUAAUAUGAAGAUGUUAUAAACUUAAUGGAAAUUCAGUGACAAAUCUAUUGAUUAGCUGUGCUACUUUGAUAAUUAAUUAAUGAAGCAUGUCAAAUCUAAUGCAUUGACAUUGAUAAAAGAGGUAAACAUAUAAUUUAAAAAACUAGUACUUAUAUCUAUCAUCUGUGUAGUAUUGGGAACAUGCAAAGUCUUCUUAUUGAAAAUCUAAAGAAUAAAUUAUUAUCCAAAAUAAUUUCAGAAAAAUAUUAUAUUUCAUCUUAAAUCUUUCAUGUAACAUAGCAAAUUUUUUUUUUUUUUGCUCAAUAUACAUAUUAGUAAUACUGUGUGGAUGCGUGUUCCUUAAGAUAUGCUCUAUAAAAGUUGUUAACUUAUUACAAUGUGAAGUUUGUUCUUAUUUAUAAUUGGCUUAAAGCAGGAAUAAGAUUUUUUGUGACUAUUGGACGUUGUUCUUAUAAAAUGUAUCACUACAGAGAGAUUUUAUUAUAAUUCUAAACCGAGAAAAGAAAGUGUAAUCCUAAUAAAUCACCAUCGAUUAGAGCUAUAAUGAAUUAAGCUUUACAAAGAAGAAGAAGAAAGAUUACAAUGUGAAGGCAACAAGAAUCAUGACAAAGUGAGAAAAAGAGAGGCCACAUAAGCCCCAAGGGAAAUUGAGAUUUUAUAACACAGCCUAAUUGCAGAAAGCAUAGGCGAAAAACAGGUGCUUGAUUGCAAACAUGCACACGCGCGCGCGCACACACAAUUUGACCACAAAGACCGCAUACCUUUGAGAGUUGGUCCUCUGGGGCAUAGGCAUUUUUCGCACGUUUUCGUGCUUCCUCCUUUUAUGGCCACGUAGUUUUCGUAAGCUUGAUCAAGAAACUCCUCCAAUUGUUCAUCAUACCUAACACCAAAAAAAUGUCAUAAGAUCACAAAGGCAUAAGUUGAUAGAUAUAUUUGUCAAGAUAAUGCGACAGAAGAUAUAGGUAGAAAAGAAUUACUUUCUGCAUUCUUUAUCAGAGUCACUGUCACUGGACAAUUGCUCUUGAGUGUCUCUAUCGGGUCUCUCAUCUUCACAGCCCUCUGCAGUAGCAUUCUCAUCAUCAUCAUCAUAUUCAACAGCAGCAAGAUCUUUUUUACCCUAAACCGAUCAUUCAAGUUUAUAAAAGAAUGAGAUACUUGCCUUAGACCACACUUUUGAAUUGGAAAAAACUAAUAAAUCAAAAUUGCAACUAAUAUUGUCCUACCCAGCCAUUUUUCAUUUAUCCUGAUGUCAAGUACACUACAAUCGAUGAGUACCUCAGUCAGUUUGCGUAACCCUUCUCUGUUGAGUUGUAGCUUGCAGGAUAUUGGGAAAUAAAUAAUUGGCUUGUUGCCAUCUUUGGUUUGUAUCUGUAAACAUUAUGGUUGUUGGCCUUACCUUCUUUUGGUUUUCUAUGGAAUUUGUAGCACCAUAUUUUGUCCACUAUGUCAGUACACCAGUGAUUAAACAAAGUAGUCUCAUGUGCUUGAUCUAAAAAUAAUUAUAAAGUCACCAUGUGGUUGAUCUAAAGAUAAUUAUAAAGUCACAAACACAGAAAAAUUAAAAGUAAUUCAUAAACAUUUGUCAUGUGAAAUUUACUUAAUGGAAGAGAAAUUCUAGGAAACAACUUUAUGGUGAGAAAACUCUAAAAAUCAAACCGAAAGAUAUAUAAUAAAUAAUUUUAUAAGAAUUAGGCUAUGUUUCAAAUAAUAUCACAUAUAGUAAAUUUAUGAGUUGUCGCUCAUCAUAACUCAAUUGUUUCACAUAUUGUAAUUCUUUAAUUUUGAAUAACAACAUAUGUUUCAUAAGAUUUAAAAUGGUAUGACUCAUUUUAUAAUAUUUUUAACUGAAUUGAAAUUCUGCAACUAUAAAAAUUGAAAAGAAUGAACUUGGCGGUAUUACGCUUAUAGUAUUGUUUCUUAUGGUGAACCAAAAGCAAGCCAAAAUUACGCUUACAUCAUCUUACUCUACCGUAAAACUUAUUUAUAAUCAUAACGGUAACACUAAAUUAAUUUUAUUACUGUGAGAGUUUAAUAUUUAAUAGAGGUGUAGUUACAAAAAUUAUUAUUUUAACUUAAUUAUUUUUUGUGCAAGUGAUAUAGCGAUAAAAUAUGCACUAUAUUAAUAACUAAUUAAUACAGCAUGUCAAAUUCAAUGUACUAACAAUGAUGAAAAAGAUAGGCAUAGUUUGAAAAAAACUAGUACAUAUAUCUUUAUAGUGCUGGAAUUAUGUAAAAUCAUCUUGAAAGUCUAAAGAAUAAAUGAUUGUACAAAAUAAUUUUAGAAAAAUAUUUUACUUCAUCUUAAACCUUUAACAUAAUAAGGGAUAUAUUUUUUACAAUAUACCGAUAAUUAUUACUAUUAGAGGUAACUUUCUUAAAACCGGAUUUAAAAAAAUUAUAAUUUAUCAUAAUAUAGAGUUUAUUCUUAUUUAUAAUUAUUAGGCUUGAUAAUCGACUGGGUCGUGUUUGGGCCAUGCCAAGCUCUAGCCCAACUAGGGGUGGCAAAACGAAUAAACGAAUCGAAUUUGAAUCGAAUCGUAAACGAAUUGGGUCAAAAUUAUAUGGAUUCGGAUUCGAUUCGUUUAUUAAACGAAUUGAAAUUUCAGGAUUCAGAUUCGAUUCGGUUAUUAAACAAAUAUUCGGUUCAAUUCGUUUAAUUCGUUUAAUAGAAUUGAUAAACGAAUCGAAUCGAAUCCGGAUUCGUUUAUUAUUCGCUUAUCCUUUACGAAUCCAUAACGAAUCGAAUCGAAUCAGGAUUCGUUUACAAUUCAUUUAGAAAAAUAUAAUUAAUAAACAAAAUUAAGCAAAAAAAACACAAAUUUAAUAUCCCACAACAAAAUACAAAUAAUUCAAAUCAUAUUAUACAGUCAUCCAAAUACUAAAUUACAAAUCCUUAAUAUUACAAAUAACAAUAAUUCAAAUUCAAAUUAUAAAGAAAUGUAAUUUCUUUAAUUCUCUUCAUUUGUCUUUGUCGCCUUGAAAACAAAAAUCCUACACCAAAAAGUAAAUAAAAUGUUAUUAACAUGCUGCAAUAUUGAUAAUAGUCAUUGUAAAAUUUCAAAAAUCAAAUAUAUAGCAAAUUUGUAGCAUUUUCAAGAAAAUAAUAAUUAAACAAGAUAAAAACUUUACCUACCACACUCACACACUGUCAUUUGGAUCAUUGGCACUCUCUGCAGAUGGAGCACAAUUAGUGCUCAUGUUCAUAAUGUUUUGAGUAAGUUGGUCCACAGUGACAUCCAAAUUUUCUACAAUAAUUUUAUAAAAAUAAAUCUUAAUUAGAAACAAUUGCACAUAAUAUUAUAAAAGAAAAGUAAAUAAAUUUUAUGAGCAAGUUUUACCAAUCUCUCCAAACUUCCAAUCUCUAGUAGUAAUAAUUGCUUGAACUAUCUCUAGUAGUAAUAAUUACUUGAACUGUCUCUGGCUUCAAUACACUUCAAAAUUGAUCAAGAACUCAACCGCCAAACAACAACAAAACAACAGUAAAACAGCAACAAAAUAGCAGCAAAAUAGUAGUAAAACAACAACAAAAUAUCAGUAAAAUAGCAGUAAAACAACAACAAAAUAGUGGAAAAAUAACAAAAAAAAUGGUAGCGAAACAGCAGCCAAACAACAGCAGUAAAACAGCAGCGAAACAGCAGUAAAACGACAGUAAAAUAGCAGUAAAUCAGCAACAAAACAACAGCAAAACAGUAAUAAAACAGCAACAAAACAGCAACAAAACAACAGCAAAACGGUAAUAAAACAGCAAUAAAAGGCAAAUUUUCAGUGGUGUACCGUGAUGGUGGGUAGUUAGCGCGGCGGGAAGUGGUGCUGGGGAUGAAAACCUUCAAAUUUUAAAAAGCUUUCAAAUAAAUUUAAGGAUAAAAAAGUAAUUUAAUUAAACGAAUAAUAAACUAAUCGACCCGUAUUCGAUUGGUUUAUGACCGAUUUAUUAAACGAAUAAACGAAUCAAAAUUUUCAAACCUGCAUUCGAUUCGUUUAAUUAACGAAUCGAAUCGAAUUCACCCAUUUAUUAAACGAAUCAAUUUUUUCAAACUCAAACCCAUUUAAUUUGCAUCGAAUCGAAUCAAAUAAACGAAUCCUGACCCAUAUUGCCACCCCUGCCCAACCCUAUGAUUAAAAUGAAGGACUCUAAUACUAAAAAGCUUGACCCUUCAAACUAAAGAACAACCUGGCUUUAAUAAUUUUUUUAUAUUUUAUUUUUUUUUUUAAGAAUAUGACUCCUAUUCUUCAUUCUUUAGUAAUAUUAUUAUUAUUAUUAUUGUUCCUUUUUUUUGUUGGAUUUGUUUGUAAGGAAUUUAAUAAAUUAUUUUUUAUUUAACUUAACAACAAUAGAACGUUUAACAAUCUAACAAAAUUAAUAUAUUAACCAAGCAAUAGGUAAAUAAAUCAAAUACAAAAUAACAAAAUUAAUAUGAAAUAGAGAUAAAUAUCCCUAAAGUGUAGUUGUGACCAUCUAUGUGUAUGUGUGUUUAAUAAUAUUUUUAUUUUAAAAAUUAAUUUAAAGAUCAAGAGUUGAGUUAAAACAUUUUGGUAAAACUUUAACCCUAACCCAAAUGUAAUUAGGUCCUGAUUCCUUAAGCCCUAACCCAACGUUUAACCUUUCAAAUUCGAGUCAAAACCAUUAAAAUUAAGAUCGAAUCAAUCAAGUCGAGGGUCGGAUAAAACCUUUUUGUCAUCCUAAAAAUUACCCUAAAUUAAAAUCAAAAUUUUUUAAAAUUAUAUAAAAAUUAUUCUUAUACACAGUAACAAUAUACGACCCAACAAGAAAUGAACCUGGACGCAUUAGGGCUUUGAUCCACAAACAAACUUUCAAAACCCUCUUAGACCUCAAGAGCAUUUUAGUCCAUUUAAUCAAAAGUAAAAGUGCGGCUACCAGCUAACUCUCCGGAAUUGAACUGAACGAGUUUCAGAAAUGGCAUCGAAAAGCAAGAUUCUAUCCAUCGGCGGGACAGGGUAUAUCGGUAAAUUCAUCGUGGAAGCUAGCGUGAAAGCCGGCCACCCGACGUUCGUGCUCGUGAGGGAAUCCACAGUCUCUGGUCCUUCCAAAUCUCAGCUCCUCGACCACUUCAAAAACCUCGGCGUCAAUUUCCUUGUCGUGAGUUAUCAAUUUUUUUUUUCAUUUUUUUAAUUCCAAAUUUUGACACGUGGCGGUGUAGCCUCUACUUGAUAGACUUGGUUUUUUUUUUUAAUUUAAUUUUUGUGGGUGCUGUUAUUAUUAUGCAGGGAGAUGUUUUGAAUCACGAGAGUUUGGUGAAGGCGAUAAAACAAGUGGACGUGGUGAUAUCAACAGUUGGUCACACUUUAAUAGCCGAUCAGGUCAAGAUUAUUGCUGCCAUUAAAGAAGCCGGUAACGUUAAGGUAUGACAUAAUUAAUGUAAAUGUCUUAGAUUCCGAUCAGGAUUGUGCACUCGUGCACACGUGGUGAUUUAUUCUUCGUGUGGAGCUCGCUGUAGAGUAGAGCUCCCAGUUCCGCUAAUAAACACCCGUCACAUGCGCAAUUGCGCCUCAAAAUAAUUUAAUUAAUUAAUUAGGUAUAAACACCGAUGGCAUGAAAGCAAUUAAAAUUAGUUGAUGUUUAUAAAUUAUUUAUUACUCAGAGAUUCUUCCCAUCGGAAUUUGGAAAUGAUGUUGAUCGAGUCCAUGGCGCCGUGGAGCCAACAAAAUCGACGUAUGACGUAAAGGCGAACAUCCGCCGAGCCGUUGAGGCAGAAGGCAUUCCGUACACGUACGUAGAAUCUUAUUUUUUUGAUGGCUACUUCCUCCCUAAUUUGUUGCAGCCUGGGGCCACUGCCCCCCCUAGGGAUAAGGUUGUCAUCUUCGGCGAUGGAAAUCCAAAAGGUAACAUAAUUUAAUUAAGCUCUGUUUGUUUGGUAUGUAUUUCGGUGUUAAUGUUAUUGUCUGUUGUACAAUGGAUGGUCUUGCUUGGUACUGUUGUUGGAGAGCUGCAGUGUUUUGAUAAACACCUCUAUCCUUAGCUUUCAAGUUAAGUUGAUUUUAUACAACACUUGUUUAAUUAAAAACUUGUAAUAUUCUUACUACUUUGAUAAAAAAAAUAUUACGAUUAAAGUAUUAAUGGCACCAUAAUACGAAGUGAAUCUUAAGUGGUCAUUAUAGAUUUUAAGAUAGAGUUUUAAGUGAUUACCAGAUACUUUAGCUGCUGAACCGCCACAUCAUGGUUGCCACACAACAAUUUCAAACAGAGCCUAAAUAACUUCAUUGCAAAACAGUUAAAUGAAUCUAACUUAGUUUCGUCGUUUGAUUUUCAGCUGUUUUUAACAAGGAAGAUGAUAUUGGAACCUACACUAUCAAAGCGGUUGAUGAUCCGAGAACCUUGAACAAAAACUUUUACAUUCAGCCUCCCGGUAAUAUUUACUCAUUCAAUGAUCUUGUGUCUCUGUGGGAGAGAAAGAUUGGUAAAACCCUCGAAAAGGAGUAUGUUUCAGAGGAGCAGCUCCUAAAGAAUAUUCAAGGUUGGUUAAAACUCUCUUUUUUAAAUGUAUUAAAGAGAGCCGUAUAUUCUCUGCCGUAAAUGUUAUUGAUCCUGUCUUCUCCAAAAUGUUGCAGAAGCUGCAUCUCCACACAAUUUUAUAUUAUCAAUUUAUCACUCUGCUUUCGUGAAGGGAGUUCAAACUAACUUCAAGAUUGAACCAUCUUUUGGAGUUGAAGCCUCGCAGCUUUAUCCUGAUGUCAAGUACACUACAGUUGAUGAGUACCUCAAUCAGUUUGUGUAACCCUUCUCUGUUUCCAGCUGCAGCUUGCAGGAUCUUGGACUGUUGGUAAAUAAAUAAUUGGCUUGUUGCCAUCUUUGGUUUUAUAUGUAAAAAUUAUGGUUGUUGGCCUUACUUUCUUCUGGUUGUCCAUGGAAUUUGUUAGACCAUAUUAUGUUUGCUAUGUCAGUGAUCAAAUGAAGUAGGCCAUGUACUUGAUUUGAGAGUAGUAGUUAUAAAGCCAUCAUGAUCAGGUGGGUGCGUAGGUUGGGCUUCUAUUAGGGUGCGUGUGUUGGGCUUCAGGGGCUUGUGAUAUGGGUUCGACAGCCCCUAACGGGCAGUCAUUAUAAAAAUAAUUAUAGAGUUACAAAUCUAUGUAAAAAGCAAAAAUUAAAAGUAAUUUAUCAAUAAAAAUAAUUAAAAUUAAUAAAAAGUAGGUAUGAUAAUUCAGAAAUUAAAUUAAAGAUAGAAUUCUAAAGAGUUGGAUAAUCCUCCAACUAAACUAAAGAUCUAGUACUUUUGAGAGCAAAUUUAAUUAAAGAAAAGGAUAAGGAAAAACAAUAGAAUAAUAAUAUUAAAAAAUUGCAAAUCUUGGUCUUUUUUUUUUACGAUGAUGUUGAAUUCUUAUAAAUUUAAUCUUAUCUAUAGAAUUAUUUAGUUACUGUAUGUCAAAAUUUCCUAUAAAGAUGAAGAAAAAUUAUAUUAGGAGAAGAUCCAAAUCCGUUUAACUGAUGCAUCAUCGACAACAUGAGUACAACAUUUUCGAAUAAACAAAAGAAACUCGUUUUAUGUGUGAACCAGUUCCAAAAUAAAGAGCAGACUAUUGGAAGGAGACAAAUACUACAAGAAGAACAAAACAUUCUACAAUUCCUACAUGAGCCCGCAACAAUUAAUUAUUAACUCGACAUUCAUUACACUUUUUCUUUAAUUUGACAAAGAAACCAAAAAUAAGAUAAAAUUGACUAAGAAAUAAAAAAAUGACAAAAAUCUUUUUGAAGUUUUGCCAGUUCAGCCAUGCACGCUUAUCUUUAUUCACUUGUUUCCUUUCUUUCCUUUCUUUCCUUUCUUUCCUUUCUUUGCUGAAGCCUUCACAGAUCCUUUACCUUUCUGAGCCUUGCCAAUUUUCCCCUUCUUCAAACCACCUGGCCUUGCUGGAUCCACGUGUCCUUGCAUCCUUUUUCAUUCGUGGAUCAACAAGAAUCUCCCCCUUUCCAGCUCUCUCUUGAACUCCUUGCUUUGCGACCAUGUAUUCUUUGGUAGGCCUUUUGGGUAUAGUUGUCUUGUAUAAUUGUUCAAUUUGAUUCCUCUUCGAACGAUCAGAGAUGUCCGCUUAGUCUGAUAUGACAUUUGCCUUCUUGCGAACCUUCUCAAGAUUUCGCAUGGCAACCCGUAUCUUUCGAGCUUUGGUCUUAGCCACCUUCUUGGCAGUAUGGGUGGGCGAUUCGAUUUUGGGAUAAACUUUUGGUUUCGUAUCGGUUUAGAUUAAAAAAUAAUAUAAAAAAAUAUUUAGAUUUUAAGGGAAAAAAUCCGAACCGAGACUCACCUAUCGAUUUUGGCUCGGUUUCAGUUCAGUUUUGAUUCUCCUAAUAGUUUUAUUUUGCCUUAUUGACUUCCGGUCAAUGACACUUUUGAAAAAUUUACAAAAAAAAAAAAAAUGGCCAUAACAAAAUUUCUAAAUGCAAAUAUUUCCUAAACAUUAGGCUAUACUAAAUUUUUUUAAAAGGUAGGGAUCCAAACGAUAUUAUCCCUCUACUUCAUCUUCAACCUUCGUCACUAGGGAUGGCAAAAUUCAGGUUCGGGUUCGGGUCCGGGUUUAGCCAUUCGGGAUCCGGACCCGGAUGAAUAUUUUCUGUAUCGGACCCGAAAAUAAACCCGCAUUUUUCCACUCCGAGUCUGGUACGGGUUCAACCCGAAAAAAUUCGGGUUCCCAGACUGCGGGUUUCCAACCCGAAUUGAUGAAUCCAAUUGAAAAAAAAAAACUAAAUUCAACUAAAAAAAUCAAAUAGAAAUACAUAUCCAGGAUUUUAGCAAAUCAAAGAAAAAUUAUUUCAUCUGGAAACUAAUUAACAAAAACAACAAUUUUGUUUGGCUGCCCAGAAUCAGCAACCCAAUGUGGCGGCUCGUUCAAAACAUUAGUGUUUUCAACAGAUUUUGGGGUAGGAAAAGCCAAACCUAUCUAGAACAAUGAAUUUGUAUUUUUGGGGGAGAUGAGAUACCUCACUGGUUUGUUGUGUGCGGUGCAGUGUAUCUGAAAUUUGGGGGAUGUGAGAAGGGGAGAGGGAGUGGUAACAAUGGUGAAAGGUCAAAACCAAUAGAGAUGUCCUUCAAAAUGAGCUUCACACCUGUAAAACAGUGAAAUAAAGGUUAGAGGUGAAGCCGGGAUACCCCGGUGUUCACACUCCGAUGCUCAAGUUAGCAAACUCAAGCUUUUAUGACAAAGAGAACUGGCUAGCCCUCUGUAAAUUAGGGUUUAAGGUUCAAGGAAACCUAUUUUUUGGAAUGUGAGUGUUAAUGGUGAGUGAGAGACCUCUUCGAGAAUGAAACAUAGGCGCCUUUAUAUAUGGAGUACCUCAGCUGCCACAUGACGUACCCUUUUUUGGCUAACGUCAUUUUUCCUUUUUAUGAUUUUUGGGUCGUUAUGUGCAUGUUCGCGGGGUAUCUCAUCUUUUGGAAACGUGGCGCGCGCUGGAGAGUGGUCCAGGGUACCUCUGCAGUAGCUGUCGGGUAGGCAGCUGAAGACCACUGUCCUUGGGACAAUGUCCUUCACUUUUGGUAAAGGUGACAGGCGGUUGUCCCCCUUUUUAACACGACAUUUUUUAUUCCUAAUUAUGACAAAAUCGAAUAAUAUCUUUUAAGAGAUGGAGACGUUUCUCAUGGUGGAUAUUUUCAGAGGAUUCUCUUGCAUCUGAUCAGCCGGGUUCCUCCAGUUAUGCAGGGUACCUCUAAUUUUACGGGGUACCUCUAUUUGCGCAGGGUACCUUGAAUCAUGCUAGGUACCUUAGAUUAUGCGGGGUACCUCAUAUUGUGUGGGGUACCUCUAAUUGUGCGGGAUACCUCUAUUUGCGCUAGGUACCUUGAAUCAUGCUGGGUACCUCAGAUUGUGCGGGGUACCUCUAUUUGUGCAGGGUACCUUGAAUCAUGCUGGGCACCUCAGAUUGUGCGGGGUACCUUUAGUCAUGCGAGGUACUUUUAAUCAGGCCAGGUACCCUCUAAUUGUGCUGAGUACCUCUAAUCAUGCAGGGUACCUCUAAUCAUGCGGGGUACCUCUAAUCAGGCCGGGUACCUCAGAUUGUGCGGGGUACCUCUAUUUGCGCAGGGUACCUUGAAUCAUGCCGGGUAUCUCAGAUUGUGCGGGGUACCUCAAAUUGUGUGGGGUACCUCUAAUCGUGCGGGGUACCUCUAAUCAUGUCGGGUACCUCGGAUUGCACUGAAAUUAUUCCAUUCGUUGACACGUGGCGUUAUGCUAUCUUUCUUAUUUUUCCCCCAAACAACAUCCCUCUAGUUUCUUUUGGCAAGAAGUUUUGGAGGCAAAAGAAACUUACAUAAAAAGUAGGAGCGACACGUGGCGAUAUGAUGUUUAGCUCGAUGGAUAACUAAAUAGAGGGCGCCUCUAGGGGUACCCUGAGAACCCAAAAAGGGAAGAUGGGCUCCAUUUCCUCGGAAAUGGCUACCACUUUGGACAUGUUGGAAAUGAUAGAGCUAAUUGAUCAAAAAAAUUUCAUCUAUUUCUGGGGAAGAACACCAAAUACGGGUAGAGGGUAUCGUUAGGGUACCCCACCAUUAUCCAUAGUUUGUUUUCUAGUGACUGCCAUGUAUAAAUCGCUCUGGUGAAGGCUUCAAUACAUUCUUUGGGCAUUUAAGAAGCAAUUAUUUGAUUAUCUCGGGAUCCACCUUAUUUAAGGGUAUAUUUCCUUCAUGUGCUUCGAAGAAAAAAAUAAAAUCACAGGGCCUUCUUCCUUGUAACUUCAGAGGUACCAUCGACAGAAGAACAUAGUCGACAAUGCUUUUAAGCGUAUCAUGAUCGAGGAAUGGAGUGCUGAUCUGGGGUUGGUGGUGCCAAGAGUGGAGAAGAUGGUAGAUGAACCGGCUAUCUUGAAGGCGAUUAAUGAUAGCGGGGCUCCCAACACAUCUUGGUCUGAAAGCCCAUUGAGAUCAGCUGAGGUACCUCAGAUGAGGUAUCUAUAAGGUACCCCUGAUACUAACCCUUGUGUUUUUGCUACUUUUAGCACUUUAUUGAUCCCUUCAUCCUAAGGGAUGAAGUUGAAGAUAAAUAUCCUGUUGUAUAACCUUGUUCGACAUUACUGACAAGAUGUAUGGGGUACCUUGUUAGCCUAUAUGGCUAUAAAUAUUGAUUUUGAUGAUAACAAACCACAUGUAUUUAUUGAGUAAAGAUUUAUGAAUUGUGCUUUUAUAAUGAGAAAAUGAUGUUAUGGAAUUAAAUCUUUUUGAACUAAAAUGAAAGUAAUUUUAAAAUCUUUGAUAGUAUUUUAAAUUUCGGAUUUGUACAUAUUUGAAACUAUUUAAAUGUUUUUAGGUCAUUUUGUAAUUUCACAAAGUUUGGGCGAAGUCAUAAUUUCAUAAAGUUGUGGGAUUGAGAAAGCAUUAUCUAAAAUUAUGAAAUUGGACAUAUUUGCAAACGUUUAUAACGUUUUGGGCCAUACCACAGUUUUAUAAAGUUUUAGGGUCAAAUUGAAAAUAUUAGAAAAUUUUCACUGUAGCAGGUUACUGUAGCAAGCAGCUUACCGGAUUCAGAAAAUCAGAAAUCCGGAUUCGAGGCAGUAAGCAUCCAGAACCAAAACGGCUUACCGGAUUCCUGAAUCCGGCAAACCGGUUAGGCAAAAUUUUGAAUUUUGCCUUAACGGUAACAUAAAUCCGGCUUACCGAAUUCUAUAAAAUGGCAAACUGGAUAGCCUAGAAUGUGAGUAACGGCUAGUUUUCGAGCUCAAGCUAUAAGAACUCAAAUCCAACUCAUUUUGAAGCUCUCCAACAAGCAAGAACAAAAAGCACACGUGAUAUCUUGAGCCUUCAACUUGUAAAACACAAUUCAUUGAAUCAUUCAUUGUUCUUCAUCUUUGAAUAUCUACUCAUUGAGUGAGUUUCAUUGUAUCUUUCAUUUCUUCAAUUCAUUUGUAAGAGUUUGAGUGUGUGAGACACUUGAGUGAAGAGAUUGGGAGAUAAUCUCUUUGUUGUAAAGGUUUAUUGACACCUCGAAGUCAAUUGUAAUCGUUGAAGCCUUGGAAAGGCUUGGAUAGUGAAAUCCUCGAGCUUGGAUCGCUUGGAGGCGUGGACGUAGGCGGGGAUUACCGAACCACGUAAAAAUUCGUGUGUUUGUUUCUCUUCUCCCUUACUCUUUAAUUAUUGUACCAUUAUUGAACUUAUUACUUUCAAUUAUUGUUAAGACAUUAGAUUGCUUGUUGUGUGGAUUUGUUAGGAUAAUUUUUAAAAAUCCAAUUCACCCCCCUCUUGGGUUGCACACUUGUAUUUCAUACCUCAUGUACCCUAAUGCUUGGAUAUCCCUUGAGCUAUCUGUUACUUCAUGGCGGAAUAACCCAAUUGCAUCAAACAUAUGGCGAUUCUUCCAGAUAUGCUUGUCGCUUAUCUUAAGCUUUCUUAGGGUUCCUCCUGGUGUAUCUGAGGAAUAGCUUUCUGGCGUGGGGUACCCUUAAUCAGCGUAUGGUGAUUUUCAUAGAAAUGCUUGCCGCAAAUCUUCACAAAACUUGUUGCGGUUGCUUUUGAGAGAUUGUGCGGGGUACCUUGAAUCAUGCCGGGUAUCUCAGAUUGUGCGGGGUACCUCAAAUUGUAUGGGGUACCUCUAAUCGUGCGGGGUACCUCUAAUCAUGUCGGGUACCUCGGAUUGCAGUGAAGUUAUUCCAUUCGUUGACACGUGGCGUUCUGCUAUCUUUCCUAUUUUCCCCCAAACAAUUAGUAAAGAGAGCUAAAGAACUAGCUUUAGUUACGAGCAGAAAAUCAGAAGUCAAGGAGCAGCCAAAGCACUUUUAAUGGUGAUGGUAAAACUAGAGAGGUAAUGCAAAUAAGUUUACGUUGAUUGGAUAUUCAGAAGAAGUAAUACGCCAUUAAAAGCAACAAGUUUUCCAAAAAGCCAACAAAGACAGAGACCACCACACCACCCCGCACUGGAUGAAAAACGAUGAAAGCAUGAUAAGUGGCAUCGAGUAAGCCACGUUCUCUCUCUCUCUCUCUCUCACUCGCACUCGCACUCGCACUCGCACACACUGUUACUAAAAUGACCAAAAAUAAGAUUCCCAUCAAAAUAUUUUCGAGUAUCGUUCUUGAAAGUGGCGGCGGCUGAUGAUGAUGAACACAGCCGCGAUUGCGAUUGGCGAAGGCGGCGUUCUGCCCGUAUCACAGCUAGUUAUCGGUCGCGGCAGAAAAGAUAAUGAAACGACGGCUGAUGAUGAUGAUGAUGAUGUUGAACAGCCGCGAAUAUGGGUAAGUGAUGCGACGAUGAUUUGAUUUGAUGAAGAUGAGCUGAACAUGGAAUAAGAGAGGAAAUGUUUGUGCGGCUGGGAAAGUGUAAUGAACUGCUAGGGCACCAUUUGGGUUUUUUUGCUUUCCUAUUUAUAUUAAAAAUAAUUUUUAAAAAUUAAUAUAUAUCCGGGUUCGGGUUUUGGAUGUACGGGUUUACCUAGACCCGGACACAUGCGGAUUCAGCAGCACCGACCACCCACAGACUUGGAUUUGAUUACAAAGUUGGGACUUAGGAUUUGGGUUUGUGGCUGCCGAAACAGAAAGUGAGAGAGUAGAAAGUAGAGACUGAGAGUGGUGCAAACAUGUGUAAUUUUGUGUGUGUGUCUAUAUAUAUAUAAUGUGAAAUUACAAAAAUGCCAUUAUAUCAGUUCAAUUCGAAUUUUGUAACUUGUGAUCCGAAAACUGAACCAAACCGAACCAUUUGGUUUGGUAUUUAUAUAUUCAGGUUUUUAAUUUAAAAAAACUAAAUUGAAAUUGAAAGAACUAAACCGAACCGAAUUUUUUUUUUUUUUGUUUCGAUUCAAUUAUGCCCAUCCCUACUUAGUAGGCUGGGUAUCAAUUUCUUUGAAUUGUGCUUUCAUUGCAGUAAUCUCCUCCUUGGUAAUAGGUUUAAUUGCUUGCUGAUGCCACCUUUCCUCUAGUAACAACUAGUCUAACAAGCCAUCAUCGUCAAACAUGUACCUAUUAUAAGCAUCAUCCAGAAUUUGCUCUCUUUGCUUUUUGCUUAGUGUCUUCUUUGCACAAGCUAUUAUCUUAGCUUUUGUAUCAAUAUCUUUAUCUUUUGAUUCACCAGAGGAUGAAUCAUCACCGGAAUAGAGUGGUGAAGGCCCCAUAGAUUAGUGUGAUCAAGUUCUAGUGUAGUUUUGGUUUUGAUUUCAGUAUUAGGAAAAUGAAGCCUAUGAAAUUUACCAAGCUAACAUGCUUCACAAAAGUGCUUUAAUACUUGACUAUGAAUACUUGAAGAGGAUAAAUGAGGAUAAAUAAAUUUAAAUAUACAUUAGAUUUUGAGGGUUGGGAUGUCAAAACUUUUGGUGAAAAAGAGUUAGUACAAGCAUUUUUAUUGAGAUUGAAAACAUUUCUUAAGAUGAUCAAUACUAGUUACAAAAUUGGAAUGAAAAAAAAAAGGCAACAUAGACAAAGGUUUGUUUAUUUGAUUGUAAGAUAGAAAAGACUUGUAUUUAGGUUGUGGAAAGGAUUUGAGCAGCAAUUUAUACAACCUUUUCUCAGCAAAACCUUCCUCUUCAAUGAAUCCUUCACAAAACAAAUAGAUCCAAGAAAUUCGACAAAUAAAUUGUUGUCAAUGGUAAGUUUUGAAAUGCUCAAUAGAUUCUUUGUAAUGGAUGGAACAAACAGUACAUCCUUAAGUAAAAUAUGUCUUAUAUUAUCUUUUUUUAAUUCUUUUUAAAAAAAUAAGUGAAUAAUAGUAUGUCAAUCUCAAAUAUCAAUAUGUACAAUUUUUAUUUGUGUAAGAAUUUGCAUCCAAUAAUCAUCAAUACAUAAUUGUCUUUUAAUUGAAUGGUUCUCACCUCCCUUCCAAACUUUGAAAAGGUAAAAUAAGAUCAAUCAUGUCAGUGGCAAUUAAUAUAAAGAUUACUUUUCUUAUUUGUAGUAACGUCCUCUGAUUAUUUAGCUGAUUUUCAAGCUACACAUUUAUUCCAUUUGAUGUUGAUAUUAGUAAAAUUAAUGUAAUAUUUAAAAAGGAAAAAAAUCCGUCGAGCUAAAAGCCGAGUAUAAAAUUGAACCAGACCCAAACCAGAAACGCACGCCAACAACAUGUUUGCGUCAGUCGGCCCAUGCCCAUAAACCCACCAAGCCCGAUCCAAAUAGAAAAAUGAAUUGGACACCCGAGAUAGCAGAAACAGAUAAGUAACGGUCGUGCUAUCCCCAAUCUCAUAUCUUCAACGGUAUCCAGCCAACAUCUCAAAGUGUUCAAUUUUUUUUUAAGCCAAAAAAAAAUUCAAAAUUUUCAAGCGGAAUCUGGGAAGAUAGCGAUGAAAAGCAAGAUUCUGGUUAUCGGCGGAACCGGAUACAUCGGUAAGUACUUAAGGUGCGUUUGAAAUUGAGGUUGAGCAACUAUAACUUUAAAACUGCAGCACUAAAAUAUUUGGUAAACACUAAUUGUUGUAACUUAAAAGCUAUUUAAUAUAAUUUUUCACUUGUAUAAUAAAAAAUUUAUUAUCUUUAAUAAUUUUGUCAAAAUUAUUAUUUAAAAUAUAUACAGUAAGAGAGAUUGUAACAUUUUCAAUCUUUGGUUUGAUAUUCUGGAAGAAAACGAUUUGCCGUUUAUGGAGAAAACUGCUAACCGUUUAAUUUCAGAGAGCAUGUUUUCUAUUCUAGAGAAAACGGCUAACCGUUUGGAGAAAACGGCUAACCGUUUGGAGAAAAUGGCUAACCGUUUGGAGAAAACGGCUAACCGUUUAAUUCCAGAGAGCAUGUUUUCUGUUCUAGAGAAAAUGACUAACCGUUUGGAUAAAACGGCCAACCAUUAAUUACAGAGAGCAACUUAUUUGACAUUCUGGAAUAAAACGGCUCACCGUUAUUGAGAAAACGGCUAACCGUUUAUUUCCAGAGAGCGUGUUUUUGCGUCAACUGGAAAAACGGUUAGCAAGCUUAGAAAUUUCAAUUGUCAAUCGAUGCAAACUCAAACCAAAAGAGUGUUUUUUUGAAGAAGUACUAUUUUUAAUGGUUGUAUUCUUUCAAAUAAACAUCUUCUUUAUUAAAGAUAGACAAACUAUUAUAUCAUAAUUAGAUUUUGCAGGUUUCAUAUAUGUUCUGGAAAUACAAUCUUAUUUUUUAGAGAUUGUAUUCAGGAUUUGAUAUAUCUUAGGGGUAAUUUGCCAUUAAAACUCUAUAGCAAACCAAGAUUGGUGAGGGUAAAUAAAACCUUAAAGAAAAAUGUGCAAACACGUCUCAAAUCCUAAGAAAUUUUCUUUGUUCUUUGCCUCCAUAUUCUUAAAAUUUGAAAAUUCACCCAUCAAUCUUUAAGGUUUUAUUUUGAUGCAAAUAGAGGCUGAGAAGAGUUUGACGUCAUUUCUUAAUCCUAGUGUCCAUCUCGAUCGUUUUGAUGGAACAAAUUUCACUCGUUGGAAGGAAAAAUUGUUCUUUCUUCUUACUGUUCUUAAAGUGGCAUAUGUUCUUAAUCCGAAAUUGGAACCAUUUCCAGAACCAAGGGAAGAUGAUACCGAAGUUGUUAAGGCUGUAAGGAAACGUCGUGAAGAUGAUGAAUUGAUGUGCCGGGGUCACAUACUCAAUACGCGUUCUGACAGGUUAUAUGAUCUCUACAAUUUUAUGACUUCUUCGAUGGAAAUUUGGAAUGCUCUUGAGUACAAAUACAAAACGGAGAAAGAAGGUACUGACAAAUUCCUUGUCUCUAAAUAUUUUGAAUUUAUUAUGGUAGACACACAAUCCAUUCUUGAUCAAAUACAUGAGUUAUAAAUUAUUGUUGCUAAGCUUCGAGAGUUAAAAGUUAAAAUUUCUGAAUCAUUUCAAGUUGGGACUAUUAUUGCUAAAUUGCCUCAAAGUUGGAAUGAUUAUAGAAAGAAACUCCUUCAUAGUAAAGAGAACAUAACUUUAGAAGAAUUGCAAAAACACUUGGUAAUUGAAGAAGAGACUAGGUCUCGCGAAUCCAAGGAUAAACAUGAUUCUACUAAAGUUAAUGUUCUUGAAGCUAGUAAAUUCUCAAAGAAUUUUAAAGUCAAGAAUGACAAGAAAUUUAAGAGGUCCAGCACACAAAAGUUUUCUGGAAAUUGUUUCUUUUGUGGUAAGAAAGGUCAUCGCCAAAGUGAUUGCAGAUUCAAGAAAAAAAAAGAAGAAGUGAAUUCCUAUAAAGCUAAUGUUAUUGAAAACAAAUCUGAAAAGAUUUGUGCUAUGGUUUCUGAAAUACAAAUUGGCAUGAUUAUCGAAACCAAUAUGGCUGAAACUAAGUCCUAUGAUUGGUGGCUCGAUUCGGGUACAACAAUUCAUGUUUGUAAUGAUAAGAAAUUUUUAUUAUCAUACAAAGAAGAAACGGAAGGACAAAUGGUUCUCAUGGGGAACAAUAAUGCAGCCAUAGUAGCAGGGAAAUGAGUAGUUGAGAUCAACUUCACUUCUAGAAAGAAAGUCACAUUGUAUAAUGUCUUUCAUGUACCUUCCGUUAGGAAGAAUCUUAUUUCUGCUAGUUGUAUGUGUAAGCAUGGGCUUAAGAUUGUGCUUGAGGGUAAUACUUGUAUUAUCUCAAAGAAUGAAUUAUUUGUUGGGAAAGGGUAUUCUUGUGAUGGAAUGUACAAACUCAACAUUAAUAAUAAUAAUAUCAACUUAGCUUAUAUUGUUGAGUCUUGUGAUGUUUGGCAUGCUAAAUUAGCACAUUUGAAUUUUAGAUCUUUGAAAUACAUGUCUGAGCAUGGUUUGAUUAAUUGCAAUGAUGUUAAAGGUCAUAAGUGUGAAAUCUGCAUCCAAGCUAAAUUAACUAAGAAACAUUUUCUUAAAGCCGAACGAAAUACUCAAAUAUUGGAUUUAAUAUAUACCGAUAUUUGUGAGUAUAAUGGCGUUUUAACAAGAGGAGGUAAGAAGUACUUUAUCCCUUUUAUUGAUGAUUGUUCUAGAUACACUUAUAUGUAUUUACUUAGAACAAAAAAUGAAGCUUUUGAUAAAUUUAAAAUUUUCAAAGCUGAAGUUGAGAACCAAAAAGAUAAGAAAAUCAAAAUGGUUCGUAGUGAUAGAGGUGGUGAAUAUUUCUCAAUUGAAUUUAAUAAUUAUUGUGAAGAAUUUGGAAUUAUUCACCAAAGAUCAGCUCCAUUUACUCCUCAACAAAGUGGUUUGGCUGAAAGAAAGAAUAGGAUCUUCACGGAUAUGAUAAAUUCCAUGAUCCAUAAUGCAAAACUACCAAAUAAUUUGUGGGGGGAAGCAUUACUCACUGCAUGUCAUAUUCAUAACAGAAUUACAUCUUUGAAAACACAUAUAUCUCUUUAUGAAAUUUGGAAAGGAAGAAAACCAAACUUGAUGUAUUUAAGGGUCUAGGGUUGUUUAGCUUUUUAUAAAAUACAUGAUCCUAAAUCAUCAAAGUUAAGUGCUAGAUGUAUAAAGAGUGUUUUCGUAGGAUAUGCUGAAAAUUCUAAGGCUUAUAGGUUGUUAGAUUUAGAUUAUAAUGUGAUUGUGGAAUCUAGAGAUGUUGAAUUUAUUGAGAAUAAAUUUCAACAUGAUUCUAAUAUUGAAUUAGAAUCAAUUAUUGAUCAACCAUGUGUUAAUACUCCUGUUACCUCCACUAACAAUAAUAAAAGGAAAGAGUCUAUGACAUCUUUCGAACCAAUGAGGAGUCAACGUGAAAAGAAAGAAAAGAGUUUAGCUCCGGAUUUUAUUUCAUCACAAGCACUACUCUUCUUGGUUGAAGGGGAUAGAAAGAAUGUACUUAACAAAGUACCAUUAUUGUUAAAUAUUGAAAAAGAUCCAAAGACAUUUAGCGAAGCUAUGUCUUCUAGAGACGCUUCUUUUUAGAGAGAGGCGGUAAAUGAUGAAAUUGAUUCGAUUAUUUCGAAUCAAACAUGGGUCUUGGUUGAUCUUCCUCCAGGAUCUAAACCAAUUAGCAGCAAAUGGGUAUUUAGAAGAAAGUACAAUAGUGAUGGUUCUUUGCACACUUUUAAGGCUAGAUUAGUAGCCAAAGGGUUUAAGCAAAGAAAUGGUAUUGAUUAUUUCGAUACAUAUGCUUCGGUAGCAAGGUUAACUUCUAUAAGAGUGCUAUUUGCAAUUGCUUCAUUGAACAAUUUGUAUGUGCAUCUAAUGGAUGUUAAAACCGCUUUUCUUAAUGGUGAUCUUGAUGAAGAAAUCUAUAUGGAACAACCUGAGGGAUUUGUUUUACCAGGAAAUGAGAAAAAAGGUAUGCAAAUUAGUCAAAUCACUUUAUGGUUUAAAGCAAGCACCAAAACAAUGGCAUGAGAAGUUUGAUUCGGUAAUUUUAUCUCAUGGUUUUAAGCAUAAUAAUGCUGAUAAAUGUAUAUAUUUUAAAUUUACGAAUGAUUUUGGUGUGAUUAUAUGCUUGUAUGUUGAUGACUUGCUUAUCUUUGGGACAAAUAUGCAAGGAGUAGAUGAUACAAAGAAGUAUUUAACUUCACAAUUUAAGAUAAAAGAUCUUGGUGAAGUAGAUACUAUCUUAGGUGUCAAAGUGAAGAAACAUAGUGAGGGUUACUCGUUGUGUCAAUCUCAUUAUAUAGAGAAAGUGCUUCUUAAAUUCAAUUAUUUGAAAUUUAAAGAAGCUAAUACCCCAUAUGAUUCUAGUAUUAAAUUAUUAGAGAAUUCAGGCCGAGUAGUAGCACAACUAGAAUAUGCUAGUGCUAUUGGUAGCUUGAUGUAUGCUAUGCAUUGUACGAGGCCUGAUAUAGCAUUUGCAGUUUGCAAAAUGUCAAGAUUCACGAGUAACCCUAGUGUUGAACACUGGAAAGCAAUUGGUAGAAUACUUGGUUAUCUUAAAAGGACCAUUCAUUUGGGUUUAUUUUAUAAUGAUUAUCCUGAAGUACUGGAAGGAUAUUCAGAUGCUAGUUGGGUAACCAAUACAAGAGAUAAUAAAUCCACUUCUGGUUGGAUUUUUACAAUUGUUGGAGGAGCAGUUUCCUGGGCUUCAAAGAAACAAACGUACAUAACUCAUUCAACAAUGGAAAGUGAGUUUAUAGCACUCGCAGUUGCAAGCAAGGAAGUAGAAUGACUGAGAAAUUUGUUGUUUGAUAUAAUGUUAUGGCCACAACCGAUGCCAUAUAUUUCUUUGUACUGCGAUAGUGAAGCUACAUUGUCUAGAGCUUAUAAUAAAGUGUAUAAUGGAAAGUCUAGACAUAUUAGCUUGAGACAUGAAUAUGUGAAACAAUUAAUAGCAGAUGGUGUUAUUAAUAUUGUUUAUGUUAGGACUAAUAAGAACCUAGCGGAUCCUUUAAUAAAAGGUCUUACAAGAGACUUAGUUAAGGAUACAUCUUUUGGAAUGGGAUUGAAACCUUUAAAUAAUAAAGUCACCAACGACGAUAACCCAACUAUGUAGUAGUUGUACCGCUACUCCAUAGUUAAAUGGAUAAUAACAAGUUGUUGUUAUGUGACUGGUUUGGCACCGAGUAAUAAAUAAUCACAUUCGAGAUAUUCGGUGCAAAUAGCUACGAGGUUGAGGUUGAGUAUUUAUUCUUAAUGAAGUUCAAGUCUUAUAGUAGCUAAAGACAUGAUUUGAAACUUCACCUAAGUGAACAUAAGAAAUGGUGCCGUUUCUAACAAGAUCAUGGUUUAAUCUAGUAAAUGUUCAUGAAUUCAAGAUAGAGCACAAGGCCGGAAUAGUGCUAAAUAUUGGAACACAACUUUGAAAAUCUGGGAUAGCUUAUAUGUGAUGUAUCUCCGGUAUUUACUUAAGAGACAAAGUUUAAUGCUUAGCACAUUAUUGUCUUGUAAAUGCUUUGAAAUACACUCACUAAUUAAAGGUUAAAAUCGAAAGAUAUCUUUUUGUAUGUAUAAGUUUAUCAUUAAUAAAUAUGAAAAAUAUUACAAUCUAGUGGGGGAUUGUAAGAGAGAUUGUAACAUUUUCAAUCUUUCGUUUGAUAUUCUGGAAGAAAACGGUUUGCCGUUUAUGGAGAAAACGGCUAACUGUUUAAUUCCAAAUAGCAUGUUUUCUGUUCUAGAGAAAACGACUAACUAUUUGGAGAAAAUGGCUAACUGUUUAAUUCUAGAGAGCAUGUUUUCUGUUCUAGAGAAAGCGGCUAACCGUUUGGAUAAAACGACCAACCGUUAAUUACAGAGAGCAACUUAUUUGACAUUCUGGAAUAAAACGGCUCACCGUUAUUGAGAAAACGGCUAACCGUUUAUUUCCAGAAAGCGUGUUUUUGCGUCAAUUGGAAAAACGGUUAGCAAGCUUGGAAAUUUCAAUUGUCAAUCGAUGCAAACUCAAACCAAAAGAGUGUUUUUUUGAAGAAGUACAAUUUCUAAUGGUUGUAUUCUUUCAAAUAAACAUCUUCUUUAUUAAAGAUAGACAAACAAUUAGAUCAUAAUCAGAUUUUGCAGGUUUCAUAUAUGUUCUGGAAAUACAAUAGAUCAUAAUCAGAUUUUGCAGGUUUCAUAUAUGUUCUGGAAAUACAAUCUUAUUUGCUAGAGAUUGUAUUCAUGAUUUGAUAUAUCUUGGGGGUAAUUUACCAUUAAAACUCUAUAGCAAACCAAGAUUGGUGAGGACAAAUAAAACCUUAAAGGAAAGUGUGCAAACACGUCUCAAAUCCUAAGAAUUGUUUUUUGUUCUUUGCCUCCAUAUUCUUAAAAUUCGAAAAUUCACCCAUCAUAUACAUACUACAUAUUAUUAACUUUUGUUUUAUAACUAUAGUGUUUUUUUUUUACCGCAACUGUAGUUUAAAAACUACAGCACCUCAAUCCCAAACAAGACCUUAGUGGAAGCGAGCGCAAAAGCCGAUCACCCAACAUUCGCGCUUGUGAGAGACUCCACUCUCUCCACUCAUUCCAAAUCCAAAAUCCUCGACCGUUUCAAAAAUCUCGGCGUCAAUUUAGUUCUUGUGCGCCACUCUUUUAGCUUUCCAAUUUUCCCGCCAAUUUUCUUUUAUUGUGAUUAAUUAAUUAAUUAAUUAAUUAAAGUAAAGAUUUUAUAUUAUAAUUUUGUUUGCAGGGAGAUCUAUACAGCCAUGAGAGCUUGGUGAGUGCAAUAAAGCAAGUGGAUGUUAAGGUAAUGAUUAACUUAAGUAAAUGCGUUAACUAAUUACUUGGGAUUUUAAAUUCAAAUGCGUGAAUUGUUCUAAAAAAUGAUUUAUGUUUAUUAGUCAGAGAUUCUUUCCUUCAGAAUUUGGAAAUGAUGUUGAUCGCGUGCAUGCCGUUGAGCCAGCAAGAACAUCAUUUGCCACCAAGGCUAAAAUCCGCCGAGCUGUUGAGGCUGAAGGAAUUCCAUACACCUACGUAGCUUCCAAUUUCUUCGCUGGUUUGUAUCUUUCCAGUUUCUCACAGCCUGAAGCCACAGCUCCUCCAAGGGAUAAAGUGGUCAUCGUAGGUGAUCGAAAUGCAAAAGGCAAAGCGCUUCUGGAUACAUUUACUCUGUACACGCAAUGUGUGGUUACUGUUUGGGGAUAAAAAAGGAGAUUAAUUAAUAAAGAAAAUGAAAUUAUUGAGGGAUUUGCUGAAGAGUUGCGUGCACUCCUCAUUUUUCUCCACCACUCAUCUUACUUGCAAAAUGCAAUGACCAAACUAUCCUCGCCAAAGCCUAGACAUUUACUUGUGUUCAAAGGCCAUUUAAGAGAGACAAGUACAAAAAAUUAUAAAGGAUAGUGAGCAAAAGAAGAAAAUGGAAGGAGGGGAGAAUAAAAAAUGGGAGUGGGGCGUUAUCUAGGGAGGAUUUUUAUUUUUAUUUUUUUUCCUCUCUUCUCCAUGGCAUCUCUUUCUCUCUUUCUCCCACUAAGAAAUUCUUUCUUUUACACUCUAUUUUACUUUUAUUCAAAUUACACAAAAAACUUUUGGUUUUAAGGCAAUGUUUAUUAAGCCACGUGAAUUUGAAAAAGCAGGAAUAAGGGGAUGAUUUUAACACAUUAAUUCACCAACAUUAAUUGGAAAAGAUCAGUUGCCACUUCGAAUCAGAGUAAUUUCUUCGGCAAUAGCCAAAUAUUGAUAUUUGAUCUUGACACUGUAGUUAAAUCAAUGUAACUGGUUUUGUCAUUUGAUCCCCAGUAAUUUUUAACAAGGAAGACGAUAUUGGAAUUAAUUCUAUCAAAGCGGUGGAUGAUCCGAGAACACUGAACAAAAUACUUUACAUCAGACCCCGUUGCAAUAUCUACUCAUUUAAUGAUCUUGUGUCUCUGUGGGAGGAAAAGAUUGGCAAAGCCCUUGACAGGGUCUAUGUUACAGAGGAACAACUUCUGAAAAACAUUCAAGGUUAGUUAGAACUAUCACUUUAUCAAGUGCAUAGAUGUAACUGACCGAUAAUGGAAUUUUUUUUCCUUCUCCAAAAUGCGAUAGAAUCUAAUCGGUUUCAACAAUCUCAAGAACACCUAUUCAUGGUUGUGUUGUUUGAAAUCUGUAUGUAUCAGUUUUCUUUCUAGAUCUCAGAUUGCUCGCAAGGAUGUCAAGUUUUGAUGAUGCUUGCCUGUUUUCCUGUGUUUACAGAAGCUUCAUAUCCACUCAAUAUGAUAUUACCUAUUGGGCACUCUGCCUAUGUCCUGGGAGAUCAGACCAACUUCGAAAUUGAACCUUCAUUUGGAGUAGAGGCAACAGAGCUUUAUCCAGAUGUCAACUACACUACUGUGGAUGAGUACCUCAACCAGUUCAUAUAAACCUUCUGAGAUGAGCAGCAGGAUCCUAACAAAAAAUUGGGUGGUUUCCAUCCCUGAUUCUAUGGUAUAAAGAUAGCGGCUUUCCCUGCUUUUGCCAGUUCAAUGAAGUUUGUUAGAUGAUGUUAUUUAUACUAUACUAGCAAAGAUCAAGUUGCCUUUCUUGUCAAGAAGCCAAGCUCUGGCAUUGGUUUAUGCUAGUUUUUCAUGUUUAUUACUUUUUUUGCAUUCAAAAUGAUAAAACUGCAGAGGUUGUUGCAUGCACGUCAUUUGUUAGUAGGGGUAUCAAUUUAUGAACGUAUGAAGUAUCUCUUCUGCAACGGCAUCCUCCUUAACUGUCAGUAGGAUCACAAUAAGUCGACCAACCAUCUACCGUAUGGAUUAUCUAUAAAUUGAAAUUGGUGUGUAUUAUGGAUCUGUCACUCUGCUGUUUCUGUUUUCUUUUCUAUUUUUACCAAGAAAGAAACAUUGUUAAAACUGAAUGGUUGUUAUCUCGUCUUGUUGUAAUGUUGUGUAUGCUUUCUAGAAAAUAAUGAAGUGCCAAAUAUGAAAAUACUAGUGGCUACCUUACCAUCCUUAAUAAGUUGUCUGAUUGUCACCGUCAACAAUCACUCUCAGCAACUCAUAAUCCAUUUAAGCAUAUUAUAAAAUAAUCAAUUUUGUAUUUGCACCAACUUUUAGUUUUAAAUGACAAUUUCGUUGAUCCCCACACUUCUGUACUAAUCAAAUCCACUGAAACUGGACUUUUUUUUCUUUUUUUUUAUAAUUACAUCGAUUGCAUUGGCUAUUGCAGGGAAAAGACUGCCUCUACAGGGAACUAAACUUUCAGAAUUGUUCUUAUGAGGGUUUGAAUAUGCUCUCGUACUAGGUCAAUGGCCUAUUGGUUCGAGACCAUUCACAAAGAAAGAAAUGAGUUUUGCUUGUAUAAAUGAAAGAAAUCCAAAUGAUAACUAAUGUAUAGUGGUACAUGAGAAAAAUAAUUUCAGCCCGUGUAAAGUCAAAAAGAGAAAAUAUUAAAAGAAAGGAUAAUGUCAUUGAGUUCGGUGAAGUGAAAGAAAAUGAAAAACAUGGGAUUUAGUCAAACUUAGUGUCCCAAUCAGCAGAAAAAGGUUUUAGAAACUCACCUCAAGUUAAGCCAACUAUUAGGAGCUUUAUUUAAUCAUGACUUUCUAAUGUAUAGUACUCCAAUACUAAACGAGGGCUACCUCUACGCUUGCAAUUGUAAAUGAAAUUGAGUUCGUGACGCACAAUGAAGUGAGCAAAAUGAGUUGAGAUCUGAGAAUAUAUUAAAGAAAAUAUGAAUCAAUGAAUUUUGGUUAAAAAAAACAAAUGCUGGUUCUUCAAGACCUGCGUGUAUUGUGUAAGUUUUGUUAGGAGAAGGAAAGCAUUUUGGUCUAAAACGCACUAAAUCGGAUUCAUUUGCUUGAUAUCUAAUAAGGGUGAAUUAACCACUCGCCCACAGCAAUUCAAGUCCCAAAAAAAUUAUUGUGGGGGCUAAAUUUCUUCUUUAAUUAUAACAAAUAAUUGAGUGGAGGAUAAAAAUUUAGGCCAUGUAUAACAAUAACUAAUAUAAACUAGUCCUAAUAAUAGUAUAAUUGUAAAUAUCAGUUGUAGUCUCAUACAAUAUAAGUUUAUAGAUUAUAAUAUCGGCAUAAAAAGAAAAAUGAUAUCUGACGGUCAAUCAAUAAAAGGACAAAAACUUGGAGUAACAUACCACAAAGUCAAUGUAGCUGGACAGAUGAAUAUAAUAUGUAAACAAAUUUAAAUGGGAUAAUACCAUACGGUACAUACAUAACAUUUUAAAACUGAAUUAAAAAAAUAAAAUUAAAACUGAAUUGGAAUUCGUAUGUGUAUCCAGCUACCUUGCAACAGUUGUAAGGUACCCUAACUUUGCAACAAUUUCAUCCUUCGUGCAUUCGGUCACAAAGUCCAAAUUAGGCACGUUUAAGAAUCGAACUGAAAAACUAAAAAAAAAGAAUCCGGCGAUAUUUGCGAACCGGAAACGAGCCAGCGUUAUGCUUAUGUCAUUUCAGAGAUAUCAACAGUCGUGCUUUCAGUCCUUAAACCUCAAGGGCAUUUUCGUCCUUUCACUCAAGCGUGAAACUGCAUGUAAGAACUGCUUCGCUUACACGCUCCAUGCACAUUUAAAGGCACCACUGUCGGAUAAAAAAUAUCCAUCCAUUUGAUCAUUUCAAAACAAAACGAAAAAAAAAAUCUCAGUAAUUGAACUGAACGAGUCUCAGAAAUGGCAUCGAAAAGUAAGAUUCUAUUCAUCGGCGGGACAGGGUAUAUCGGUAAAUUCACUGUCGAAGCGAGCGUAAAAGCCGGCCACCCGACGUUCGUGCUCGUGAGAGAAUCCACAAUCUCUGGUCCUUCCAAAUCUCAACUCCUCGAUCACUUCAAAAACCUCGGCGUCAAUCUUGUCAUAGUGCGUUUUCAUUUUUCUCUUUUCUUUAUUUUUUAUUCCGAUCAUUUUUACACGUCGAAGUGUAGCAUCUACUACUUAAUAUACAUAAUGAUAUUAUUAUUUUUUAAUUUUUUUGGGUUGCUGUUAUUAUUAUACAGGGAGAUGUGUUGAAUCACGAGAGUUUGGUGAAGGCGAUAAAACAAGUGGACGCGGUGAUAUCAACAGUUGGUCACACUUUAAUAGCCGAUCAGGUCAAGAUUAUUGCUGCCAUUAAAGAAGCCGGUAACGUUAAGGUAUGACAUAAUUAAUGUAAAUGUCUUAGAUUUCGAUCAGGAUUGUGCACUCGUGCACACGUGGUGAUUUAUUCUUCGUGUGGAGCUCGCUGUAGAGUAGAGCUCCCAGUUCCGCUAAUAAACACCCGUCAGAUGCGCAAUUGCGCCUCAAAAUAAUUUAAUUAAUUAAUUAGGUAUAAACACCGAUGGCAUGAAAGCAAUUAAAAUUAGUUGAUGUUUAUAAAUUAUUUAUUACUCAGAGAUUCUUACCAUCGGAAUUUGGAAAUGAUGUUGAUCGAGUCGAAGGCGCCGUAGAGCCAACAAAAUCGACGUAUGACGUAAAGGCGAAAAUCCGCCGAGCCGUUGAGGCAGAAGGCAUUCCGUACACUUACGUAGAAUCUUAUUGUUUUGAUGGGUAUUUCCUCCCCAAUUUGUUGCAGCCUGAGGCCACUGCCCCCCCUAGGGAUAAGGUUGUCAUCUUAGGCGAUGGAAAUCCAAAAGGUAAUAUAAUUUAAUUAAGCUCUGUUUGUUUGGUAUGUAUUGCGGUGUUAAUGUUAUUGUCUGUUGUACAAUGGAUGGUCUUGCUUGGUACUGUUGUUGGAGAGCUGCAGUGUUUUGAUAAACACCUCUAUAGUCUAUCCUUAUCCUUAGCUUUCAAGUUAAGUUGAUUUUAUACAACACUUGUUUAAUUAAAAACUUGUAAUAUUCUUACUACUUUGAUAAAAAAAAUAUUACGAUUAAAGUAUUAAUGGCACCAUAAUACGAAAUGAAUCUUAAGUGGUCAUUAUAGAUUUUAAGAUAGAGUUUUAAGUGAUUACCAGAUACUUUAGCUGCUGAACCGCCACAUCAUGGUUGCCACACAACAAUUUCAAACAGAACCUAAAUAACUUCAUUGCAAAACAGUUAAAUGAAUCUAACUUAGUUUCGUCGUUUGAUUUUCAGCUGUUUUUAACAAGGAAGAUGAUAUUGGAACCUACACUAUCAAAGCGGUUGAUGAUCCGAGAACCUUGAACAAAAACUUUUACAUUCAGCCUCCCGGUAAUAUUUACUCAUUCAAUGAUCUUGUGUCUCUGUGGGAGAGAAAGAUUGGUAAAACCCUCGAAAAGGAGUAUGUUUCAGAGGAGCAGCUCCUAAAGAAUAUUCAAGGUUGGUUAAAACUCUCUUUUUUAAAUGUAUUAAAGAGAGCCGUAUAUUCUCUGCCGUAAAUGUUAUUGAUCCUGUCUUCUCCAAAAUGUUGCAGAAGCUGCACCUCCACACAAUGUGAUAUUAUCAAUUUAUCACUCUGCUUUCGUGAAGGGAGUUCAAACCAACUUCAAGAUUGAACCAUCUUUUGGAGUUGAAGCCUCGCAGCUUUAUCCUGAUGUCAAGUACACUACAGUUGAUGAGUACCUCAAUCAGUUUGUGUAACCCUUCUCUGUUUCCAGCUGCAGCUUGCAGGAUCUUGGACUCUUGGUAAAUAAAUAAUUGGCUUGUUGCCAUCUUUGGUUUUAUAUGUAAAAAUUAUGGUUGUUGGCCUUACUUUCUUCUGGUUGUCCAUGGAAUUUGUUAGACCAUAUUAUGUUUGCUAUGUCAGUGAUCAAAUGAAGUAGGCCAUGUACUUGAUUUGAGAGUAGUAGUUAUAAAAAGCCAUCAUGAUCAGGUGGGUGCGUGGGUUGGGCUUCUAUUAGGGUGCGUGUGUUGGGCUUCAGGGGCUUGUGAUAUGGGUUCGACAGCCCCUAACGGGCAGUCAUUAUAAAAAUAAUUAUAGAGUUACAAAUCUAUGUAAAAAGCAAAAAUUAAAAGUAAUUUAUCAAUAAAAAUAAUUAAAAUUAA
This 40936-nucleotide long non-coding RNA is filed under the name Citrus maxima (pomelo). Its description in RNAcentral is "long non-coding RNA (CMAX_LNC003344)". The record is from RNAcentral. Lineage: Eukaryota; Viridiplantae; Streptophyta; Magnoliopsida; Sapindales; Rutaceae.